GAUGAGCGCUGGCGGCGUGCCUAACACAUGCAAGUCGUGCGGAAACACUUCGGGUGUCGAGCGGCGGACGGGUGAGUAACGCGUAGGAAUCUACCCCAGACUGAGGGAUAACUAGCCGAAAGGUUGGCUAAUACCGCAUACGGUCUACGGAUUAAAGCUUCGGCGGUUUGGGAAGAGCCUGCGUUCGAUUAGCUUGUUGGUGAGGUAAAGGCUUACCAAGGCGACGAUCGAUAGCUGGUCUGAGAGGAUGAUCAGCCACACUGGGACUGAGACACGGCCCAGACUUCUACGGAAGGCAGCAGUGGGGAAUCUUUCACAAUGGGGGCAACCCUGAUGGAGCAACGCCGCGUGCAGGAUGAAUGCCUUCGGGUUGUAAACUGCUUUUAUGUUUGAGGAUUAUGACAGUAGAACAUGAAUAAGGACCUGCUAACUACGUG
RNAcentral lists this ribosomal RNA (437 nucleotides) under uncultured bacterium. RNAcentral describes it as "bacterial SSU rRNA". It matches the Rfam family "Bacterial small subunit ribosomal RNA", at positions 28 to 507 of the family's 1533-position model. The record is from RNAcentral.